This 312-nucleotide unclassified non-coding RNA is filed under the name uncultured Trichocomaceae. RNAcentral's name for it is "sequence contains ITS1". The stretch from base 1 to 105 matches the Rfam family "5.8S ribosomal RNA", at positions 50 to 154 of the family's 154-position model. Lineage: Eukaryota; Fungi; Ascomycota; Eurotiomycetes; Eurotiales; Trichocomaceae. The record is from RNAcentral.
GAAAUGCGAUAAGUAAUGUGAAUUGCAGAAUUCCGUGAAUCAUCGAAUCUUUGAACGCACAUUGCGCCCCCUGGCAUUCCGGGGGGCAUGCCUGUCCGAGCGUCAUUGCUGCCCUCAAGCACGGCUUGUGUGUUGGGCCGCCGUCCCCGCCUCCCCGGGGACGGGCCCGAAAGGCAGCGGCGGCACCGCGUCCGGUCCUCGAGCGUAUGGGGCUUCGUCACCCGCUCUGCAGGCCCGGCCGGCGCCGGCCGACCACCAACCCACUUCUUAAGGUUGACCUCGGAUCAGGUAGGAGUUACCCGCUGAACUUAA